RNAcentral lists this ribosomal RNA (2321 nucleotides) under Enterococcus faecalis TX0309B. Its description in RNAcentral is "bacterial LSU rRNA". It matches the Rfam family "Bacterial large subunit ribosomal RNA", at positions 252 to 2586 of the family's 2925-position model. The record is from RNAcentral. Lineage: Bacteria; Bacillati; Bacillota; Bacilli; Lactobacillales; Enterococcaceae.
AGCGAAACGGGAAGAGCCCAAACCAACAAGCUUGCUUGUUGGGGUUGUAGGACUCCAAUAUGGUAGUCUGUUAGUAUAGUUGAAGGAUUUGGAAAAUUCCGCUAAAGAGGGUGAAAGCCCCGUAGACGAAAUGCUGACAACACCUAGGAGGAUCCUGAGUACGGCGGAACACGAGAAAUUCCGUCGGAAUCCGCGGGGACCAUCCCGCAAGGCUAAAUACUCCCUAGUGACCGAUAGUGAACCAGUACCGUGAGGGAAAGGUGAAAAGCACCCCGGAAGGGGAGUGAAAUAGAUCCUGAAACCGUGUGCCUACAACAAGUCAAAGCUCGUUAAUGAGUGAUGGCGUGCCUUUUGUAGAAUGAACCGGCGAGUUACGAUUGCAUGCGAGGUUAAGUCGAAGAGACGGAGCCGCAGCGAAAGCGAGUCUGAAUAGGGCGAAUGAGUAUGUAGUCGUAGACCCGAAACCAUGUGAUCUACCCAUGUCCAGGUUGAAGGUGCGGUAAAACGCACUGGAGGACCGAACCCACGUACGUUGAAAAGUGCGGGGAUGAGGUGUGGGUAGCGGAGAAAUUCCAAACGAACUUGGAGAUAGCUGGUUCUCUCCGAAAUAGCUUUAGGGCUAGCCUCGGAAUUGAGAAUGAUGGAGGUAGAGCACUGUUUGGACUAGGGGCCCAUCUCGGGUUACCGAAUUCAGAUAAACUCCGAAUGCCAUUCAUUUAUAUCCGGGAGUCAGACUGCGAGUGAUAAGAUCCGUAGUCGAAAGGGAAACAGCCCAGACCACCAGCUAAGGUCCCAAAAUAUAUGUUAAGUGGAAAAGGAUGUGGGGUUGCACAGACAACUAGGAUGUUGGCUUAGAAGCAGCCACCAUUUAAAGAGUGCGUAAUAGCUCACUAGUCGAGUGACCCUGCGCCGAAAAUGUACCGGGGCUAAACAUAUUACCGAAGCUGUGGACUACACCAUUAGGUGUAGUGGUAGGAGAGCGUUCUAAGGGCGUUGAAGGUCGAUCGUGAGGACGGCUGGAGCGCUUAGAAGUGAGAAUGCCGGUAUGAGUAGCGAAAGACAGGUGAGAAUCCUGUCCACCGUAUGACUAAGGUUUCCUGGGGAAGGCUCGUCCGCCCAGGGUUAGUCGGGACCUAAGCCGAGGCCGAUAGGCGUAGGCGAUGGACAACAGGUUGAUAUUCCUGUACCAGUUGUUUUUGUUUGAACAAUGGAGGGACGCAGUAGGCUAAGGAAUGCAUGCGAUUGGAAGUGCAUGUCCAAGCAAUGAGUCUUGAGUAGAGUUAAAUGCUUUACUCUUUAAGGACAAGUUGUGACGGGGAGCGAAAUAAUAGUAGCGAAGUUCCUGAUGUCACACUGCCAAGAAAAGCUUCUAGUGAGAAAACAACUGCCCGUACCGUAAACCGACACAGGUAGUCGAGGAGAGUAUCCUAAGGUGAGCGAGCGAACUCUCGUUAAGGAACUCGGCAAAAUGACCCCGUAACUUCGGGAGAAGGGGUGCUGACUUCGGUCAGCCGCAGUGAAUAGGCCCAAGCGACUGUUUAUCAAAAACACAGGUCUCUGCAAAAUCGUAAGAUGAAGUAUAGGGGCUGACGCCUGCCCGGUGCUGGAAGGUUAAGAGGAUGGGUUAGCUUCGGCGAAGCUCAGAAUUGAAGCCCCAGUAAACGGCGGCCGUAACUAUAACGGUCCUAAGGUAGCGAAAUUCCUUGUCGGGUAAGUUCCGACCCGCACGAAAGGCGUAACGAUUUGGGCACUGUCUCAACGAGAGACUCGGUGAAAUUUUAGUACCUGUGAAGAUGCAGGUUACCCGCGACAGGACGGAAAGACCCCAUGGAGCUUUACUGUAGUUUGAUAUUGAGUGUUUGUACCACAUGUACAGGAUAGGUAGGAGCCGAUGAGACCGGAACGCUAGUUUCGGAGGAGGCGCUGGUGGGAUACUACCCUUGUGUUAUGAACCCUCUAACCCGCACCACUAAUCGUGGUGGGAGACAGUGUCAGAUGGGCAGUUUGACUGGGGCGGUCGCCUCCUAAAAGGUAACGGAGGCGCCCAAAGGUUCCCUCAGAAUGGUUGGAAAUCAUUCGAAGAGUGUAAAGGCAGAAGGGAGCUUGACUGCGAGACCUACAAGUCGAGCAGGGACGAAAGUCGGGCUUAGUGAUCCGGUGGUUCCGCAUGGAAGGGCCAUCGCUCAACGGAUAAAAGCUACCCUGGGGAUAACAGGCUUAUCUCCCCCAAGAGUCCACAUCGACGGGGAGGUUUGGCACCUCGAUGUCGGCUCGUCGCAUCCUGGGGCUGUAGUCGGUCCCAAGGGUUGGGCUGUUCGCCC